This is a long non-coding RNA of Quercus lobata, 364 nucleotides long. RefSeq lists it as uncharacterized. The transcript is spliced from 3 exons. The record is from RefSeq and is a predicted model, not a curated record. Lineage: Eukaryota; Viridiplantae; Streptophyta; Magnoliopsida; Fagales; Fagaceae.
UUUUUUGUUUUUUCCCAGGGAAACACCAUAGAAGAUCAAAUUCUACCUAGGCUUUGUCUCUUGGCAUUUUAAGGAAUGCAAGAUGCUGUUGUUUACUGGUACACACAAAAGUCAUAGCUUCCCCCAGUGUGGUGGUUUUGGUACAGGGAAAAUGUCAUAUCUCAAUUAGGAAAGGUUGAGGAAGAAUAGGGUCAAAGUUGAAGUCCGUCAUGGAGAUAUUAUCUCAUUUGAUAAGAAUAUCAUUCCAUAUUUUUAUAUAUGAUUAGUGUUACUGAUGAGGUAGAUAUUUACUAUUUAAAUUAAAAAAAAGGUUUGGAAGAGGUGGGUUAGGUUGAUUUCAAGACUCAAACUUGGAACACAUUGC